GGGGAAUAUUGCACAAUGGGGGAAACCCUGAUGCAGCAACGCCGCGUGAAGGAUGAAGGUUUUCGGAUUGUAAACUUCUUUAGUCAGGGACGAAUAAAUGACGGUACCUGAAGAAUAAGCCACGGCUAACUACGUGCCAGCAGCCGCGGUAAUACGUAGGUGGCGAGCGUUGUCCGGAAUCACUGGGCGUAAAGAGCACGUAGGCGGCCUUGCAAGUCAGAUGUGAAAUCCAACGGCUUAACCGUUGAACUGCAUUUGAAACUGCAAGGCUAGAGUAUGGGAGAGGUAGGUGGAAUUCUCGGUGUAGGGGUAAAAUCCGUAGAGAUCGAGAGGAAUACUCAUUGCGAAGGCGACCUGCUGGAACAUUACUGACGCUGAGGUGCGAAAGCGUGGGGAGCAAACA
This 403-nucleotide ribosomal RNA is filed under the name uncultured Wolinella sp. RNAcentral describes it as "bacterial SSU rRNA". It matches the Rfam family "Bacterial small subunit ribosomal RNA", at positions 356 to 774 of the family's 1533-position model. Lineage: Bacteria; Pseudomonadati; Campylobacterota; Epsilonproteobacteria; Campylobacterales; Helicobacteraceae. The record is from RNAcentral.